RNAcentral lists this ribosomal RNA (448 nucleotides) under uncultured bacterium. Its description in RNAcentral is "bacterial SSU rRNA". It matches the Rfam family "Bacterial small subunit ribosomal RNA", at positions 355 to 825 of the family's 1533-position model. The record is from RNAcentral.
UGGGGAAUAUUGGACAAUGGGCGCAAGCCUGAUCCAGCCAUGCCGCGUGAGUGAUGAAGGCCUUAGGGUUGUAAAGCUCUUUUUGCCGGGGACGAUAAUGACGGUACCCGGAGAAUAAGUCCCGGCUAACUUCGUGCCAGCAGCCGCGGUAAUACGAAGGGGACUAGCGUUGUUCGGAAUCACUGGGCGUAAAGCGCACGUAGGCGGAUUUGUAAGUCAGGGGUGAAAUCCCGGGGCUCAACCUCGGAACUGCCUUUGAUACUGCGGAUCUCGAGUCCGAUAGAGGUGAGUGGAAUUCCUAGUGUAGAGGUGAAAUUCGUAGAUAUUAGGAAGAACACCGGUGGCGAAGGCGGCUCACUGGAUCGGUACUGACGCUGAGGUGCGAAAGCGUGGGGAGCAAACAGGAUUAGAUACCCCCGUAGUCCCUGAGCGGGCUGGCAAGGCGCAU